UGCGGAUUGAUGUAAUAGUAACAUGUCUGGCUCAUGACCAGUUUAUAGAGGUGCGAAUCCUUUGUCCGUAA
This 71-nucleotide transfer RNA is filed under the name Peltigera hymenina. RNAcentral's name for it is "tRNA-Met". It matches the Rfam family "tRNA". Rfam says of the family: Transfer RNA (tRNA) molecules are approximately 80 nucleotides in length. Their secondary structure includes four short double-helical elements and three loops (D, anti-codon, and T loops). RNAcentral also lists the same sequence under 2 other names. The record is from RNAcentral. Lineage: Eukaryota; Fungi; Ascomycota; Lecanoromycetes; Peltigerales; Peltigeraceae.